This is a long non-coding RNA of Pezoporus flaviventris, 429 nucleotides long. RefSeq lists it as uncharacterized. The transcript is spliced from 2 exons. NCBI's taxonomy places the organism in Eukaryota, Metazoa, Chordata, Aves, Psittaciformes, Psittacidae. The record is from RefSeq and is a predicted model, not a curated record.
UGUAAAAGGUAGUGUUUCUUUAGUGUGCAUCACUAUGGUUUAGCAAUAAGGCCAUCAGGAUGUCUCGGAGAAUCACUUAGCGAUCAUCACAUACAAGGAAAAACAGUAACCUGGCAUUUUGCCUGGGCCAGAGUUACAAGAACUGAUUCAUUGGUUUUGGACAGGCAAAUAGGAAGCAGCGUGCAAACUGCCUGGUCUUCAACAACUGGAAAGCGUACAAACGUAUAGGAAAAAAAAAACCCCUUCUUAAAGUGCUUUGGCUCUGCCAUCCAGAAAGCAUACCCCUCCAAGAGGAAGGUCUGUGAUUCAGGGGGAAAAUCCCAUGACAAAGCCUUUAGCCCUAACAAUUGCAUGUAAGAGAGAUUAAGUCAUGGGAAACUCUCGUGAAUGGGGUUGCAGGAAUAAAAAGGAACAUGCAGCAACAUGAAA